ACUCCUACGGGAGGCAGCAGUAGGGAAUUUUCGCAAUGGACGCAAGUCUGACGAAGCAAUGCCGCGUGAGGGAUGAAGGUUUUCGGAUUGUAAACCUCUGUUAUAAGGGAAGAAACCUGAUAUAGGAAAUGAUAUCAGCUUGACGGUACCUUAUCAGAAAGGGACGGCUAACUACGUGCCAGCAGCCGCGGUAAUACGUAGGUCCCGAGCGUUAUCCGAAUAUUGGGCGUAAAGAGCAUGUAGGCGGUUUAUUAAGUCUGGUGUGAAAGCUAGUGGCUCAACCACUAAAUUGCAUUGGAUACUGGUAAACUAGAAUACUGGAGGGGCAAGUGGAAUUCCAUGUGUAGCGGUGGAAUGCGUAGAUAUAUGGAGGAACACCAAUGGCGAAGGCAGCUUGCUGGACAGUAAUUGACGCUGAGAUGCGAAAGCGUGGGUAGCAAACAGGAUUAGAUACCCUGGUAGA
RNAcentral lists this ribosomal RNA (463 nucleotides) under uncultured bacterium. RNAcentral's name for it is "bacterial SSU rRNA". It matches the Rfam family "Bacterial small subunit ribosomal RNA", at positions 335 to 794 of the family's 1533-position model. The record is from RNAcentral.